This 260-nucleotide unclassified non-coding RNA is filed under the name Glomeraceae sp. RNAcentral's name for it is "partial contains 5.8S ribosomal RNA and internal transcribed spacer 2". The stretch from base 1 to 71 matches the Rfam family "5.8S ribosomal RNA", at positions 84 to 154 of the family's 154-position model. The record is from RNAcentral. Lineage: Eukaryota; Fungi; Glomeromycota; Glomeromycetes; Glomerales; Glomeraceae.
GUGAAUCAUCGAAUUUUUGAACGCAAAUUGCGCUUCCUAGUAUUCCGGGGAGUAUGCCUGUUUGAGGGUCAGUUUUAACAAAAAAAUCGGUUUGGUUGCAAAUUGUGACGUAUCCGGAGUUCGUGCAAUCUUAACUUGGUCGGUUAAGGGGUUUAUAAUUGACUUUUUUUGCGCAUUGUUAGACGUACAUAAAUUUUUUUUUAUGCGUCUAUUCUUAAUGCCAAAAUCUUAUUAGAAGCGAUCACAUCGUGUCGCUUCGU